CGGCAGAGCAGUAAUCUCCCAGAACACAAGUGGAAAAAAACAUGGAGUGAAUCUUCCUUCAGCAGUGCAAAUGGAGAAAUAGCGCUGCCUUAUGGAUUAGACUUCUCAGAGUGAAAAGGCUAGGGAACUGCAGCAAAAUGAGCCGACUCAAGCCUACAGAAGAUGGGUGGCCCACGCACUGCCACUCCCCAAGGACACAGGGACGGGUUUCUACUAGAUUGCUGUGAGGAUUUGUUAGAAUUCAGGAAAAAGAUCAUUUGUAUUACCAGGAUGUUGGAUUAUCAUUAUCCCACCUCAUCCCCAACUCAUUCCAAAGGUAUUGGAUGGUGCUCCAUCAUUACAGAUAAUGGGGGGGGGGGGGGUGAUGAAACCAAAACAGACUUGUUCAGCUCAGGUGGUGUCCAGCAUGUGUGUCAGCGCCCUGAUGAGGAGCAUCAAGAAAACCAUCCCUGGUAUACAGUCAAGCAUGGUGGUGGUGGUAGCAUCUUGGUCUGGGGCUGUAUGAGUGCUGAUGGCAUUAAGGAGCUGAAGUCUCCUUAACAUGUACUGUGACAUUUUAAAGCAGAGCAUGUUCUCCUCCCUUCAGAAACUGGGCCACAUAGUACAUAGCAACGACAACUGCCUUGCUAAGGAAGCAGAAGGCAAAGGUGAUGGACUAGCCAAGUAUGUCUCCGGACCUUAACCCAAUUGAGCACCUGUGUGGCAUCCUCCAAGUUUUAUUUCUGUAAUGUUGUCCCAUGAAAAGAUAUAGUAAAAUAUUUUCAGAAAUGUAAGGGGUGUACUCACUUUUGUUGGAUACUGUUUAUUGUUUGGCAGCGAUGUGCAGCUUGUGUGUGCUAGUAAGUCAUGAAUUUCCCAACAGAAUAAAAUUAGUGUGCAAAUGGCUCAUACAAGAUGUAUAGACUACUGCAAAGCAUCCUCAUUACAGUUCCCAUGUGAUUGUUGUGUUAUCUAGAGAAUCUUGAAGCUUGCUUCUGUCCCAGCUACAUUCAUCUGGGAGGAUGCAGAGUAAUAUUUAAGAUUCAUAACCAAAGUAAUGGAAAUGGUGCGCUUUCAGUGCUGUGUUUUUCACACAUCAGAGCAUGAAAUGUUCUAUAUCUCAAAAUCUCAAACUUCCCACCAAAAAGCAACAUCACCUCAGUUGUUUGAGUUUGGAACUAUUUAUGCUCACCCAGAGGCACAUGUUUGGAUGUUAAAAACCUCUUGAAAUUAAUGAUUUGUUUAUUUAUUGCCUUAUUUAUUGUAUGUAGGUUUUGCCAAUGUUGUUUUAAUGACUAUUCUGCUCAGUUGCACUUUAAAAUUACUUUAACCACCCA
Long non-coding RNA from Astyanax mexicanus (Mexican tetra), 1316 nucleotides. RefSeq lists it as uncharacterized. NCBI's taxonomy places the organism in Eukaryota, Metazoa, Chordata, Actinopteri, Characiformes, Acestrorhamphidae. The record is from RefSeq and is a predicted model, not a curated record. The transcript has 3 exons.